GGGCCUGUAGCUCAGUUGGUUAGAGCAGAGGACUCAUAAUCCUUUGGUCCACGGUUCAAGUCCGUGCAGGCCCACCA
This 77-nucleotide transfer RNA is filed under the name Pseudomonas sp. RNAcentral's name for it is "tRNA-Ile2(cat)". It matches the Rfam family "tRNA". Rfam says of the family: Transfer RNA (tRNA) molecules are approximately 80 nucleotides in length. Lineage: Bacteria; Pseudomonadati; Pseudomonadota; Gammaproteobacteria; Pseudomonadales; Pseudomonadaceae. RNAcentral also lists the same sequence under 28 other names. The record is from RNAcentral.